AGCUAUCGCUUACUUCCGGUAUACUUCCGGAAAAUUUGCAUGAAACUAACAAGUGAGCUUUGUUCUCUGUAGAAUUCUAAAGAUUCCAUGCUAAUUUAAGCAAAGAGUAAUGGUCUUUUUGAUUACUUUUUAUGACUUGUGACUAUCUAAGGCCAGUCCUUUAGAUAUUGAGUUUUGAACGUGUCAAAUAGAUGGCGUGAUAGAAUGUUGUUUGUUUGUUGUGUCACAUAUGGGCUCGUUCGUUGUCAAAAGUUCAGCUACAGCUAUCUUCUUCGAAAAUUACCAAUGAAUUCGCUUGUAAAUUGACUAGAUUUCCUGUGCAAUUUGUUUGGCAUGUGUUGUUUACCGAAUAUGUGUUUUUAAUAACAUCAUUAUUUCUCCUCCAUUUCCAGGAAAAAAUGUGAAAGGUGCAUGAAGCCAGUACUGUCAACUAUUGUGUUAAAACUCCUGGUACCCUACAGAAUAUGUCAUCCAAAUGACAGAGUGGUAACAACCAAUGCUAGCUUUAGUAAAGUAUUGCUGGAACAUAGUCUUCUCAUCUUUUAUUAGGAUUCAUCACUAUUAUCGGCUGAAUCAUUCUAUGGGACUUGCCUGAUCACCAACCCAAGCAUGGACCAAUUUCUCAUUCCAUCUUCUAGAGAACCUUACAUAACCGAUCCGACCUUAGUGUGUUUUAGGUUUCUAAUGUAGCAUGAUAUAGACUAUGAGAAGUCAUGUUGUUUGAAGGAAAAGGACUAUGCAGUCGACAAGGUUCUUUGCUAACCUGUUGGCUGCUACCCUUGAAUCUCCCUGUUUACUUCCUUACACGGGUCCUCUUGAUUUGAGGGUAAUCCUUCGCUAUACUGAUCACAUCCACUGGUGAAAACCGACAAGAGAAUGCUGUAAUCCAAGACUGAUACAUUGUGUAGUUGGUAGAUAAAUGACAAUUGCAUAUCUGGGCUCCCUUCUUUUCUGUGGCCCCGUUUCCCUAACUAACCACUACCCAACGCCCGCCGGUGGUCACUCACCCGCUGUG
Molecule: long non-coding RNA, 1015 nt
Organism: Daphnia pulicaria
Lineage: Eukaryota; Metazoa; Arthropoda; Branchiopoda; Diplostraca; Daphniidae
Exons: 3
Source: RefSeq, a predicted model, not a curated record